Molecule: non-coding RNA, 431 nt
Organism: Misgurnus anguillicaudatus (oriental weatherfish)
Lineage: Eukaryota; Metazoa; Chordata; Actinopteri; Cypriniformes; Cobitidae
Source: RefSeq, a predicted model, not a curated record
AUUAUUUUAAACUUUUGUAUAUGUUUUUAUUGAAACAUUUAAUGAUGAAAAGCAAAACAAUGAACGUUUUUCCCCUACAGAUUUAUUGUCAGCAUUUUAAUUCAGAGGUGGAUUCCAGUGGGUGGAGGAGAGCCAUUAUACACAUUUUUUUCUUUCAGAUUUUUUGUCAGCAUUUUAAUUCAGAGAUGGAUUCCAGUGGGUGGAGGAGGGCCAUUAUACACAUUUUUUUCUUUCAGAUUUUUUGUCAGCAUUUUAAUUCAGAGGUGGAUUCCAGUGGGUGGAGGAGGGCCAUUAUACACAUUUUUUUCUUUCAGGUAUUAACUUUUUUGUUUGUUUAUUAUACUUUGUUUCUUGCGUAAUUAUUUUAAAUAUUUGUAUAUGUUUUUAUUGAAACAUUUAAUGAUGAAAAGCUAAACAAUGAACGUUUUUCC